GAUGAACGCUAGCGGCAGGCUUAAUACAUGCAAGUCGAGGGGCAGCACGGUUAGCAAUAACUGGUGGCGACCGGCGCACGGGUGCGUAACACGUAUACAAUCUACCUUAAACAGGGGGAUAGCCUUUCGAAAGAGAGAUUAAUACCCCGUAAUAAAUUGAGCGGCAUCGUUUGAUUUUGAAAGCUCCGGCGGUUUGAGAUGAGUAUGCGUCUGAUUAGCAAGUUGGUGAGGUAACGGCUCACCAAGGCGACGAUCAGUAGGGGAUCUGAGAGGACUAACCCCCCACACUGGUACUGAGACACGGACCAGACUCCUACGGGAGGCAGCAGUAAGGAAUAUUGGUCAAUGGAGGCAACUCUGAACCAGCCAUGCCGCGUGCAGGAUGACGGCCCUAUGGGUUGUAAACUGCUUUUAUACAAGAGAAAACCCUGGUACGUGUACCAGGUUG
This 448-nucleotide ribosomal RNA is filed under the name uncultured bacterium. RNAcentral describes it as "bacterial SSU rRNA". It matches the Rfam family "Bacterial small subunit ribosomal RNA", at positions 28 to 471 of the family's 1533-position model. The record is from RNAcentral.